Molecule: non-coding RNA, 91 nt
Organism: Mycena maculata
Lineage: Eukaryota; Fungi; Basidiomycota; Agaricomycetes; Agaricales; Mycenaceae
Source: the annotation of a GenBank genome assembly
GGCCUGGUAGCACAGUGGUAGUGCUCCUGCUGUAGUUGGAUUGACAUUCCAAUCUUGGCAGGGCGUCCCGGUUCAAUCCCGGGUCAGGUCA